This 480-nucleotide ribosomal RNA is filed under the name uncultured bacterium. RNAcentral's name for it is "partial 16S ribosomal RNA". It matches the Rfam family "Bacterial small subunit ribosomal RNA", at positions 28 to 523 of the family's 1533-position model. The record is from RNAcentral.
GACGAACGCUGGCGGCGUGCCUAACACAUGCAAGUCGAGCGAGUGAAUCUCCUUCGGGAGUGAAGCUAGCGGCGGACGGGUGAGUAACACGUGGGCAACCUGCCUCAUAGAGGGGAAUAGCCUUCCGAAAGGAAGAUUAAUACCGCAUAAGAUUGUAGCUUCGCAUGAAGUAGCAAUUAAAGGAGCAAUCCGCUAUGAGAUGGGCCCGCGGCGCAUUAGCUAGUUGGUGAGGUAACGGCUCACCAAGGCGACGAGGGGUAGCCGACCUGAGAGGGUGAUCGGCCACAUUGGGACUGAGACACGGCCCAGACUCCUACGGGAGGCAGCAGUGGGGAAUAUUGCACAAGGGGGGAAACCCUGAUGCAGCAACGCCGCGUGAGUGAUGACGGCCUUCGGGUUGUAAAGCUCUGUCUUCAGGGACGAUAAUGACGGUACCUGAGGAGGAAGCCACGGCUAACUACGUGCCAGCCGCCGCCGUAA